GGGCCCGCACAAGCAGCGGAGCAUGUGGUUUAAUUCGACGCAACGCGAAGAACCUUACCAGGUCUUGACAUCCAGUAAAGCCUGUAGAGAUACAGAGUGUCUUCGGACAUACUGAGACAGGUGGUGCAUGGUUGUCGUCAGCUCGUGUCGUGAGAUGUUGGGUUAAGUCCCGCAACGAGCGCAACCCUUAUGUUCAGUUACUAACGAGAGAGACGAGGACUCUGAACAGACUGCCGGGGACAACUCGGAGGAAGGUGGGGACGACGUCAAAUCAUCAUGCCCCUUAUGACCUGGGCUACACACGUGCUACAAUGGCCACCACAGAGAGAAGCGAGCUCGCAAGGGGGAGCGGAUCUCAAAAAAGUGGUCUCAGUUCGGAUUGUGGGCUGCAACCCGCCCACAUGAAGUCGGAGUUGCUAGUAAUCGCGGAUCAGCAUGCCGCGGUGAAUACGUUCCCGGGCCUU
This 464-nucleotide ribosomal RNA is filed under the name uncultured bacterium. RNAcentral describes it as "bacterial SSU rRNA". It matches the Rfam family "Bacterial small subunit ribosomal RNA", at positions 917 to 1382 of the family's 1533-position model. The record is from RNAcentral.